RNAcentral lists this ribosomal RNA (875 nucleotides) under uncultured marine group I thaumarchaeote. RNAcentral's name for it is "bacterial SSU rRNA". It matches the Rfam family "Archaeal small subunit ribosomal RNA", at positions 21 to 903 of the family's 1478-position model. Lineage: Archaea; Thermoproteati; Nitrososphaerota. The record is from RNAcentral.
CCUGACUGCUAUCGGAUUGAUACUAAGCCAUGCGAGUCAUUGUAGCAAUACAAGGCAUACGGCUCAGUAACGCGUAGUCAACCUAACCUAUGGACGGGAAUAACCUCGGGAAACUGAGAAUAAUGCCCGAUAGAACACUAUACCUGGAAUGGUUUGUGUUCCAAAUGAUUUAUCGCCAUAGGAUGGGACUGCGGCCUAUCAGUUUGUUGGUGAGGUAAUGGCCCACCAAGACUAUUACAGGUACGGGCUCUGAGAGGAGUAGCCCGGAGAUGGGUACUGAGACACGGACCCAGGCCCUAUGGGGCGCAGCAGGCGAGAAAACUUUGCAAUGUGCGAAAGCACGACAAGGUUAAUCCGAGUGAUUUGUGCUAAACGAAUCUUUUGUUAGUCCUAGAAACACUAACGAAUAAGGGGUGGGCAAGUUCUGGUGUCAGCCGCCGCGGUAAAACCAGCACCUCAAGUGGUCAGGAUGAUUAUUGGGCCUAAAGCAUCCGUAGCCGGCUCUGUAAGUUUUCGGUUAAAUCUGUACGCUUAACGUACAGGCUGCCGGGAAUACUGCAGAGCUAGGGAGUGGGAGAGGUAGACGGUACUCGGUAGGAAGUGGUAAAAUGCUUUGAUCUAUCGAUGACCACCUGUGGCGAAGGCGGUCUACCAGAACACGUCCGACGGUGAGGGAUGAAAGCUGGGGGAGCAAACCGGAUUAGAUACCCGGGUAGUCCCAGCUGUAAACUAUGCAAACUCAGUGAUGCAUUGGCUUGUGGCCAAUGCAGUGCUGCAGGGAGGCCGUUAAGUUUGCCGCCUGGGAAGUACGUACGCAAGUAUGAAACUUAAAGGAAUUGGCGGGGGAGCACCACAAGGGGUGAAGCCUGCGGUUC